This 410-nucleotide ribosomal RNA is filed under the name uncultured bacterium. RNAcentral describes it as "bacterial SSU rRNA". It matches the Rfam family "Bacterial small subunit ribosomal RNA", at positions 612 to 1020 of the family's 1533-position model. The record is from RNAcentral.
ACCCUGGGCCUGCAGUGGAUACGGGCAGACUAGAGGUAGGUAGGGGAGAAUGGAAUUCCCGGUGUAGCGGUGAAAUGCGCAGAUAUCGGGAGGAACACCGGUGGCGAAGGCGGUUCUCUGAACCAUCACUGACGCUGAGGCGCGAAAGCCAGGGGAGCGAACGGGAUUAGAUACCCCGGUAGUCCUGGCCCUAAACGAUGGAUACUAGGUGUGGGGGGUAUCGACCCCUCCCGCGCCGGAGCUAACGCAUUAAGUAUCCCGCCUGGGGAGUACGGCCGCAAGGUUGAAACUCAAAGGAAUUGACGGGGGCCCGCACAAGCGGUGGAGCAUGUGGUUUAAUUCGAUGCUACGCGAAGAACCUUACCAGGGCUUGACAUCCCCGGACCGGCGUGGAAACACGUUUUCUCCCG